GGAAGGCGAUGGGUUAUAACCUUAUAAGGAGGAUAAUGAAACUUAGUGUCAUCCGGGAAGGUUGUAACCCCAUAGUACUCAACCAAUGAGGAACUAGGGGAGGGACUUGCGUACCGGAGAUAAAUUACCUGUUGUGACUGACCCAGGUGCGUCGUCCCAGACACCCGAUGUUACAAGACCGUUAUAAAAAGUCUCAUUUUCACUGUUCUUCGUGCCUCUAAGUCCAUUCUUUGGGUUUGAACGGGAGACGGUGGAGGUGACGCAGGGAGAAAAGCAGGCACUGCGGCAAACAGGCAACCUCGUGCACCAGCCAAGGUUGGGUAUUUCCUUCAGCCUAUUAAAGGAAUUGGGAACCUGUGGUACCUUCCUUUGAGUGUCACGGGAGUACCAUCUCUUUACCUUGGCAAGAGCAGAUCCUUCAUAUCUGUAGUUGAAUCACACACUCUCAGAUAUCUGAGCUUGAAUUCUACAGGGACACUUAUCUCAGCUUUUGAGUUUUAGGAGAAAUAGCCUGCAGACCAGAGAAUAAGGAAAAGUUGUUUCCUGCCAAAGAACAAGCAGUAUUGUGAAAUAUAAAAUUUUAUUGUUGCGGUGAAAGAAAAUUUCAGUAUCAAAUUUUUGAAAACACAAGUCAUCUGAGGUUGUGACUGGUCGCCCCCUCCCUCUUUGCAGUUAUGAUGUGACAUUUCACUUGCUUCACAAUCCAUCUCUUUGUAAAAACUGACUACCAUCUCUGGACUGGUUUCGGCUGACUGCUGAAGAUUUUUUAUUGCUGAAUAAUAUUUCACUGCAUGGAUGUGCCACAAUUUGUUCAUCCAUUCACCUCUGAAGAACAUCAUGGUUGUUUCCAAGUUUUGGAAAUUAUGAAUAAAGCUGUUAUAAAGUUUUGUGUAUUUUUUUUGGACAUACGUUUUCAGUUCAUUUGGAUAAAUACUGUAUUAGUCUGUUUUCACACUGCUAUAAAGACAUACCUGAGACUAGGUAAUUUGUAAAGGAAAUAAUUUUAAUUGAUUCAGAGUUCCACAUGGCUAGGGAGGCCUCAGGAAACUUACAAUCAUGGCAGAAUACAAGAGAGAAGCAAAGAACAUCUUACAUGGUGGCAGGUGAGAGAGAGAGAGCAAAUGAGCGAAGAGGGAAGAGCCUCUUAUAAAAUCAGAUCUCAUGAGAACUCACUCACUAUCACAACAACAACAUGGGAGAAACUGUCCUGGUGAAUCAAUUACCCCCAACCUGGUCUCUCCUUUGACACAUGGGGAUUAUGGGGAUACAAUUCAAGAUGAGAUUUUGGGUGAGGACACAGCCAAGCCAUAUCAAAUACCAACCAACAGCUGAAUCAUUAGGCAAGACUAGGUUUAUGUAAAUUAAAAGUGGCUGGACCAUUUUGCAUUUCUACCAGCAAUGAAUGAGAAUUUUUUUUUUUUUUUUUUUUU
This 1430-nucleotide long non-coding RNA is filed under the name Homo sapiens (human). Its description in RNAcentral is "HSALNT0090671". The record is from RNAcentral. Lineage: Eukaryota; Metazoa; Chordata; Mammalia; Primates; Hominidae.